GCCACCGUAGCUCAGUUGGUAGAGCAGCUCAUUCGUAAUGAGCGGGUCGGAGGUUCAAGUCCUCUCGGUGGCUCUA
This 76-nucleotide transfer RNA is filed under the name Fidelibacterota bacterium. RNAcentral's name for it is "tRNA-Thr". It matches the Rfam family "tRNA". Rfam says of the family: Transfer RNA (tRNA) molecules are approximately 80 nucleotides in length. Their secondary structure includes four short double-helical elements and three loops (D, anti-codon, and T loops). Further hydrogen bonds mediate the characteristic L-shaped molecular structure. tRNAs have two regions of fundamental functional importance: the anti-codon, which is responsible for specific mRNA codon recognition, and the 3' end, to which the tRNAs corresponding amino acid is attached (by aminoacyl-tRNA synthetases). tRNAs cope with the degeneracy of the genetic code in two manners: having more than one tRNA (with a specific anti-codon) for a particular amino acid; and 'wobble' base-pairing, i.e. permitting non-standard base-pairing at the 3rd anti-codon position. The record is from RNAcentral. Lineage: Bacteria; Pseudomonadati; Fidelibacterota.